Long non-coding RNA from Cotesia glomerata, 403 nucleotides. RefSeq lists it as uncharacterized. Lineage: Eukaryota; Metazoa; Arthropoda; Insecta; Hymenoptera; Braconidae. The record is from RefSeq and is a predicted model, not a curated record. The transcript has 2 exons.
AAAAAUAUUUUUUUUAAUGAAACUAUAAUAUAAAAUCUAGCUGGUUAAAUAAAUAAUUUAUAUUUCUGAUUAAUUUUUCUCGCUAAACUAAUACCUGUCUCUCAUUCUUAUCUGUCUGACUUAAAUCUUAACACUUACACACUAUUUUACACUUGCUCAUAACUCAUAACAAUUCGCGUGCCUAAAGCCAAAAGGGUGUAUUACAGCAGUUAGAUAGGGUUUUAUGCCAAAAGGGCGUAUAAAAAAAUUUUUUUUUGCCAUUCUUUUUAGAAUCGCUCGAAACGUAAAGAUCUACAGAAAAAAAAAUUUUAACGUACUAACGCCAAAAGGGCGUAUAAAAAAAAAUCAGGAUUUUUCAAAAUUUCGAAAAAUAGUCUUCAAAAUUGUCCGGAGAAGGUUCGUA